This 1320-nucleotide ribosomal RNA is filed under the name Triticum aestivum (bread wheat). RNAcentral describes it as "partial small subunit ribosomal RNA". Lineage: Eukaryota; Viridiplantae; Streptophyta; Magnoliopsida; Poales; Poaceae. The record is from RNAcentral.
AUGGAGGAAACUAGUGCCACCUCGCCCUCGAGAGUGGCAUGCACAACAAAUCUUCAUAGUGUACCAGCCCUCUCAGAAUCACUCCAUGGCCUUGAAUUAAGUGAUGCUAACACUUUUUUAGAGAUUAAUUCUGCUAUGCUUCCUUUUGAUGAAUUCUCUACACCUAACAAGAGACAAUGCUUUUCUCUAGAUGGUUCGGUUUAUAAACGUCUGUGUGAUGAUGCACUCAAACCAACAGUAGGCAUGACAUUUGAUGAUAUUGCUGCCGUGGAGACAUUUUUUAAGAACACUAAUCAGUAUGACUACAUUUUUGCGCCCUUCACGGGUAUCAACCAUCAUAUGCAAAGUGUCUUCUUAGGGGGUGGGUUCUUACUCAAUGAGACAACUGAGGACUACUUAUGGUUGUUUGACAUAUUCCUUAAAUGCAUGGAUGGGGUUGUGCCUAGUGUUAUUAUAACAGAUGAGUGUGGUAGCAUGAGGAACGCUAUCAACGCACUUCUACCCCAUACCACGCAUCGGUUGUGCAUGUGGCACAAUAUGAAGAAGGUUCCUCUGAGGGUCUCUCUCGAAUUGAGAAGUGAUGAAUUAUUCUACAAGAGGUUGGACUCGUGUGUGUGGAAUUCUGAAACACCUACAAAAUUCAAAGAAAGUUGGAAGUCUCUAAUAUCAGAUUUUGGCUUGCAAGAAAAUGAGUGGUUUGCAAAAUGUUACCUGAUUCGUGGGUCAUGGGUGCCAGCAUAUUUCAUGGACAUUGCCCUAGUUGUUAUUCUCAGAACAACCUUAUUUCAAUCACAGGUCUUUGCCUUGUUUCAAUCAGAGGUACUUGCUGCUAGAGAGCAUUGUGAUGUCCAGGAUACUAUGAAUGUGGGGGAGCUGAAGAUUGUUUCCAUUAGUGAUCAAAGUCAUCGUAAAAAUAAGGUAAGAGACGUGCAUUUAGAGACAACAACCAUGAUUGCUAAAUGUUCUUGCAAGCUCUUUGAGUCCAAGGGCAUUGUGUGCCGCCAUGUCAUAUGUGUCGUGAGGGGUGCAAAGAUAAAUGAGCUUCCAACCUUUUAUGUUCUCAAAAUAUGGGAGAAAAUGUGCAAAAGGGAUAUUGUAUUUGACAACGAAGGGAAUGCACUUGAAGAUAAUCUGAUUGACUGCAUUGACAUGGAUACUAGAAGAAAGAUCUCGAUGGCACGGAACACGUUAGAAGAUAUCAUCCGAUGUGCUAAAAAAUCGAGCGUACCACUUGACUCACUCAAUACGGGUAUGUGCAAUCUUGAAUCUGUUGUCUUGCAGUCUGCCUCUGUUGUUCCUCAAACUACACAAGAAGAAUAA